ACAUUGUUUGGAUUGAUAGUUUAUUCAUGUCUACUAUCCAAUGUGAUUCUUGUGCUUAUAUGAUUACCUUGAAUGUGAUUUGGAAUGACUUUCCUAAAUCUCAUUCAUACUCUGGCCAGAGAUUCUAAAUCAUAUCAUAGAGUAUUCUCCCUCAAACGGUUUGAAGGUUAGAGAUCCCUUGUUGCGCAUUCACUUGCCUCCAUAGCUAAGUGGCUUAACCCCAACUAUGUCGUGGACACCCUCCUGAUGGAGUGACUUUGACAUAAUCAAAGAUCAAGGACUUAACCAUAAGACAACUAUGAUGCCUCAGGUCAAAGGACUACUUUGCAUUAUCCCAACCAUGAGUUCUCAUGUGACAUGAAUAUGAGAACUCUUCGUUGAUCGUGUUCAGUGAACCCAUUCUCUAUUGAGCACCUACGUACUUGUCUUGAUGUCACACACACCAAUGACUCGAGACUAGUCACUCUCCCUGAGAGAAGACAGCACGUACUGAUCUUAACAGACUGUCAAUGCCCAAUUGGCAAUCCUAUGAUCAGGAACGUUUAAGGAUGUGUCUAAGAAAGAAUGGUCUCAUGAAUCUAACUUCUUUAGAUUGCAUUCUCCCAAUCACAUAUUCCUUG
Molecule: long non-coding RNA, 620 nt
Filed under: Malus domestica (apple)
Lineage: Eukaryota; Viridiplantae; Streptophyta; Magnoliopsida; Rosales; Rosaceae
Description: long non-coding RNA (MDOM_LNC009306)
Source: RNAcentral